GAUACCACCCUUGUAGUACUGGGACUCUAACCAUAGGCCAUGAAUCUGGUCUUGGGACACUGUCAGGUGGGCAGUUUGACUGGGGCGGUCGCCUCCCAAAAGGUAACGGAGGCGCUCAAAGGUUCUCUCAGUACGGUCGGAAAUCGUACGUAGAGUGUAAAGGCAAAAGAGAGCUUGAUUGCAAGACAUACAGGUCGAGCAAGGAUGAAAAUCGGACUUAGUGAUCCGGUGGUUCUGCGUGGAAGGGCCAUCGCUCAACGGAUAAAAGCUACCCUGGGGAUAACAGGCUUAUCUCCCCCAAGAGUCCACAUCGACGGGGAGGUUUGGCACCUCGAUGUCGGCUCAUCACAUCCUGGGGCUGUAGUAGGUCCCAAGGGUUGGGCUGUUCGCCCAUUAAAGUGGUACGCGAGCUGGGUUCAGAACGUCGUGAGACAGUUCGGUCCCUAUCCG
RNAcentral lists this ribosomal RNA (450 nucleotides) under Clostridioides difficile. Its description in RNAcentral is "bacterial LSU rRNA". It matches the Rfam family "Bacterial large subunit ribosomal RNA", at positions 2196 to 2644 of the family's 2925-position model. The record is from RNAcentral. Lineage: Bacteria; Bacillati; Bacillota; Clostridia; Peptostreptococcales; Peptostreptococcaceae.